RNAcentral lists this long non-coding RNA (318 nucleotides) under Capsicum annuum. RNAcentral's name for it is "long non-coding RNA (CANN_LNC002157)". Lineage: Eukaryota; Viridiplantae; Streptophyta; Magnoliopsida; Solanales; Solanaceae. The record is from RNAcentral.
GUUAGAUGGACCAACACAAUUCAUUGAUUCUUUGUAGUAAAGUGGUGAGCUUUUAUUCUUCUAAAGACUUCGACAUUUCAUCUGUUACUAUCAUAGAUUAUAAUUUAGAGUUUUCAUUAUCAUAAACAUUAUUAUUUUCAUUGUCAUCUAUCAUAGUCGGGGCUAUGUCCUUACAAAGAAUGGUUUUUUAUUCUUUUGUUAGAAGGCUUUAUUGGAUUAUUAUGGACUUGGGUAAUGUUAGUCGAUUAUUUUUACAGUUAUUAGUUAUCAGUCAUAGACUUAUCUUUUAUUCUUUAAUCUUACCUUGUUCAAUCUUGC